AGGCUAAAGAGGGUCCUCGGCGGCUCCCGCA
RNAcentral lists this non-coding RNA (31 nucleotides) under Homo sapiens (human). The record is from RNAcentral. Lineage: Eukaryota; Metazoa; Chordata; Mammalia; Primates; Hominidae.